CCUACGGGUGGCAGCAGUGAGGAAUAUUGGUCAAUGGCCGGAAGGCUGAACCAGCCAUGCCGCGUGAAGGUCAGUGCCCUAUGGGCGUUAAACUUCUUUUGUGCGGGAGCAAUAAUGGUCACGUGUGGCCAGACGAGAGUACCGUACGAAUAAGCAUCGGCUAACUCCGCGCCAGCAGCCGCGGUAAUACGGGGGAUGCAAGCGUUAUCCGGAUUUAUUGGGUUUAAAGGGUGCGUAGGCUGGGAGGUAAGGCAGCGGGGAAAUGCCCCCGCUCAACGGGGUGAAGUGCCAUUGAUACUGCCUUGCUGGAAUGCGGGUGCCGUGGGAGGAAUGUGUGGUGUAGCGGUGAAAUGCAUAGAUAUCACACAGAACACCGAUUGCGAAGGCAUCUCACGAAUCCGCGAUUGACGCUGAUGCACGAAAGCGUGGGUAUCAAACAGGAUUAGAUACCCUGGUAGUC
This 460-nucleotide ribosomal RNA is filed under the name uncultured bacterium. RNAcentral describes it as "partial 16S ribosomal RNA". It matches the Rfam family "Bacterial small subunit ribosomal RNA", at positions 338 to 795 of the family's 1533-position model. The record is from RNAcentral.